UCGUAUUCGUGAAUAGUGCCGUAUACGUGAAUAGUAACUCCGACACUAAAAGAUAGAAAUUUCACAAAAAAAUCAUCAUGCUUCGUGAAUAGUACUCGUGAAUAGUAACUCGUGAAUAGUAACUCAUGAAUAGUAACUCGUGAAUAGUAACUCAUGAAUAGUAACCCCGACAUGAAAAGGUUCCAAAUUUGAUACAAAGUUCCAACCAAUAUUUCGGUAUAAUGAUAUUGAAGAAAUAAUAUCAUUUUUUUUAAAAAAAAAUAAUAUCCCUUACCACGUAAAAACAGUACUUCUGACUGGAAUACAGGAUAUAGUGCUGAAAGAACUUGCACCGUAUAGCAAUACUCAAAGUACUAAAAUACUCACAAAAUACGUUCGAUAUUAUAGAGAGAGAAAGAGAGAUAAAACUUUAGUUUCUGUUGUAAUUUUCAAUUCUAACCUAAGCACCCUAUUUAUAGGAAAUUGCUUAGAACACCAAAGCAGAAAAUUUAAUAUAAUAAUAUUAUAUAUAAACAAAUUUCCUACGCCCACUUCUUGAAUCUGAAUUAAGCAACUACAUCACAUGCAAG
RNAcentral lists this long non-coding RNA (569 nucleotides) under Panax ginseng (ginseng). Its description in RNAcentral is "long non-coding RNA (PGIN_LNC016455)". The record is from RNAcentral. Lineage: Eukaryota; Viridiplantae; Streptophyta; Magnoliopsida; Apiales; Araliaceae.